UUUUGACUGUGCAAAGGUAGCAUAAUCAUUAGUUUUUUAAUUGAAAGCUGGAAUGAAAGGUUUGAUGAGAAAAUAACUGUCUCUGUGUAAAUGUUUUAGAACUUCAAUUUUAAGUGAAAAAGCUUAAAUUUUUUAUAAAGACGAGAAGACCCUAUAGAGUUUUAUAUUUGAUUGGAUAUAAAAGUUGUUGAAUUUAUUCUUUUAUUUUUACUUAAGUAUUUUGUUGGGGCGAUGGAAAAAUUUGAUUAACUUUUUUUUGUUUUUAACAUUGAUUUAUGAUUACUUGAUCCUUUUUUUUUGGAUUACAAGACUAAAUUACCUUAGGGAUAACAGCGUAAUUUUUUUUGGAGAGUUCUUAUCGAUAAAAAAGUUUGCGACCUCGAUGUUGGAUUAAAAUUAAAUUUCGGUGCAGAAGCUGGAAUUUUGGGUCUGUUCGACCUUUGAAAUUUU
Molecule: ribosomal RNA, 450 nt
Filed under: Pimelia maura
Lineage: Eukaryota; Metazoa; Arthropoda; Insecta; Coleoptera; Tenebrionidae
Description: partial large subunit ribosomal RNA
Rfam family: Archaeal large subunit ribosomal RNA
Source: RNAcentral